UCGAGCGGUAAGGGCCCUUCGGGGUACACGAGCGGCGAACGGGUGAGUAACACGUGGGUGAUCUGCCCUGCACUUCGGGAUAAGCCUGGGAAACUGGGUCUAAUACCGGAUAUGACUUCCUGCCGCAUGGUGGGGGGUGGAAAGGUUUACUGGUGCAGGAUGGGCCCGCGGCCUAUCAGCUUGUUGGUGGGGUAAUGGCCUACCAAGGCGACGACGGGUAGCCGACCUGAGAGGGUGACCGGCCACACUGGGACUGAGACACGGCCCAGACUCCUACGGGAGGCAGCAGUGGGGAAUAUUGCACAAUGGGCGAAAGCCUGAUGCAGCGACGCCGCGUGAGGGAUGACGGCCUUCGGGUUGUAAACCUCUUUCAGCAGGGACGAAGCGCAAGUGACGGUACCUGCAGAAGAAGCACCGGCCAACUACGUGCCAGCAGCCGCGGUAAUACGUAGGGUGCAAGCGUUGUCCGGAAUUACUGGGCGUAAAGAGCUCGUAGGCGGUUUGUCGCGUCGUCUGUGAAAACUCGUAGCUCAACUACGGGCGUGCAGGCGAUACGGGCAGACUAGAGUACUGCAGGGGAGACUGGAAUUCCUGGUGUAGCGGUGAAAUGCGCAGAUAUCAGGAGGAACACCGGUGGCGAAGGCGGGUCUCUGGGCAGUAACUGACGCUGAGGA
RNAcentral lists this ribosomal RNA (674 nucleotides) under Rhodococcus sp. CNY-457. Its description in RNAcentral is "bacterial SSU rRNA". It matches the Rfam family "Bacterial small subunit ribosomal RNA", at positions 62 to 752 of the family's 1533-position model. The record is from RNAcentral. Lineage: Bacteria; Bacillati; Actinomycetota; Actinomycetes; Mycobacteriales; Nocardiaceae.